Molecule: ribosomal RNA, 516 nt
Filed under: Tardigrada environmental sample
Lineage: Eukaryota; Metazoa; Tardigrada
Description: SSU rRNA
Rfam family: Eukaryotic small subunit ribosomal RNA
Source: RNAcentral
CCCUUGCUUGUCUCAAAGAUUAAGCCAUGCAUGUGUAAGCACAUGCCUUAAAAUGGUAAAGCCGCGAAUGGCUCGGUAUAACAGCCACCGUUUAUUAGACGUUAGUUAUCUACUCGGAUAACUGUGGCAAUUCUAGAGCUAAUACGUGCACGAAGGCUCGGACCUUUUGGGAAGAGCGCAUUUAUUAGACCAAAACCAAUCGAGCUUCGGCUUGUGUUUUGGUGACUCUGAAUAACUAAGUCGAUCGCACAGUCUUAGUACUGGCGACGUAUUUUUCAAAUGUCUGCCUUAUCAACUUUCGAUGGUAGGUUAUACGCCUACCAUGGUUAUAACGGGUAACGGAGAAUAAGGGUUCGACUCCGGAGAGGGAGCCUGAGAAAUGGCUACCACAUCCAAGGAAGGCAGCAGGCGCGCAAAUUACCCAAUCCCAGAACGGGGAGGUAGUGACGAAAAAUAACGAGGUAGUCCACUUUGUGGCCUGCCAUCGGAAUGGGUACAAUUAAAUCUUAACGAGAU